GUGUUGUUGUUUGGGACAGAUUUUUUCACGCAUUCGGGGUAGAAUGGCAACCAAACCAGCGGUGUAUGUAAGAAAAGUAUUUGGGGGCAAGUCUUAGCCUUAGCGGGCCUGGCGAUAAGUGCAGGAUAGAUUAAGUAGAAUAAAUUUAAAUUUAUUAAAAAUGGAUUCACAAAGAAAAGGAGCAGUAAAACAAUUAAAAUUAGAGAAUUUAAAAAUGCAAAGCUAUAUAAUAUUUUUGUGCGGUUAAUUAAUGGCACUUCUUUUUAUUCAACUAAGCACUGUACUGAUAUCGCGUUUGGCGCGCAUACGCGAAAAAAUCCGGCCCGAACAACACACUGCUCAACAGUUCAAUUCUCUCCAGACUCGGGCACACGUGUGUUGUAUUCUGCAAGUAACAAUAUACUGAUCAAAUAUUAUUUUAACGGAAAAGGGCAUACAAAAUUUGUGACGAUUCUAAUGUGCUAUGAUCAAUAUUAAUAUAUGACUAGUAAUCAAUAUUAAUAAAUGAUCUUCGGAUGCAUCUUGUGUCGAUAAUUGUAAUAUUUGUGUAAUAUUUGUUAUUAACAAACAUGACAGAUCAAGAGAGUCAAACUGAGGACACUGUGACAUUGCUUCUUUAAACGGUGCGAUUUAAGACUGAUAAGAAAAAACUGAUCAAUAAGAGCCGAUACUUUGCCGUGCUUCUUUCUACAACUUAUGCAGAUUAUCUUUCGUUGGAACAUAUUAUCAAUUAUGACAUUCCUUCUACUUGUUUCCAGUUAGUUAACCGCGUUAGUUAACUAUAAUUGUUAACUGCGUUAAAAAAAAAAAUUGUUAAAAUUAAUGUGAUUACAAUAUGUGUGGUGAUUUUAUAAAUUGGAUUAACAAUGAUAAAUAUGAUGUUGUACAAAAGAUAUAUAAUGAAGAUUAUGUCGAACAUCUUUUGUUGUUAUUGGAAUUAAGCGUUCUGUUCGCAGUAGAUUUAAUAGAAAAUGUAACACUUACACUCCAGAGAUACUAUUUGUUACCGGAAAAUAUAAUUGAUAUUUGGUUGCUAGCA
This is a long non-coding RNA of Cataglyphis hispanica, 1039 nucleotides long. RefSeq lists it as uncharacterized. NCBI's taxonomy places the organism in Eukaryota, Metazoa, Arthropoda, Insecta, Hymenoptera, Formicidae. The transcript has 2 exons. The record is from RefSeq and is a predicted model, not a curated record.